RNAcentral lists this transfer RNA (87 nucleotides) under Candidatus Woesearchaeota archaeon. Its description in RNAcentral is "tRNA-Leu". It matches the Rfam family "tRNA". From Rfam's summary of the family: Transfer RNA (tRNA) molecules are approximately 80 nucleotides in length. Their secondary structure includes four short double-helical elements and three loops (D, anti-codon, and T loops). Lineage: Archaea; Nanobdellati; Candidatus Woesearchaeota. The record is from RNAcentral.
GCCGUGGUCGCAUAAUUUGGUAUUGCGCCUGACUCAAGAUCAGGUGAGCUGUCCAAGCUCUUGCGGGUUCGAAUCCCGUCCACGGCG